RNAcentral lists this ribosomal RNA (560 nucleotides) under Micrococcus luteus. RNAcentral's name for it is "bacterial SSU rRNA". It matches the Rfam family "Bacterial small subunit ribosomal RNA", at positions 155 to 728 of the family's 1533-position model. The record is from RNAcentral. Lineage: Bacteria; Bacillati; Actinomycetota; Actinomycetes; Micrococcales; Micrococcaceae.
AACUGGGUCUAAUACCGGAUAGGAGCGCCUACCGCAUGGUGGGUGUUGGAAAGAUUUAUCGGUUUUGGAUGGACUCGCGGCCUAUCAGCUUGUUGGUGAGGUAAUGGCUCACCAAGGCGACGACGGGUAGCCGGCCUGAGAGGGUGACCGGCCACACUGGGACUGAGACACGGCCCAGACUCCUACGGGAGGCAGCAGUGGGGAAUAUUGCACAAUGGGCGCAAGCCUGAUGCAGCGACGCCGCGUGAGGGAUGACGGCCUUCGGGUUGUAAACCUCUUUCAGUAGGGAAGAAGCGAAAGUGACGGUACCUGCAGAAGAAGCACCGGCUAACUACGUGCCAGCAGCCGCGGUAAUACGUAGGGUGCGAGCGUUAUCCGGAAUUAUUGGGCGUAAAGAGCUCGUAGGCGGUUUGUCGCGUCUGUCGUGAAAGUCCGGGGCUUAACCCCGGAUCUGCGGUGGGUACGGGCAGACUAGAGUGCAGUAGGGGAGACUGGAAUUNCCUGGUGUAGCGGUGGAAUGCGCAGAUAUCAGGAGGAACACCGAUGGCGAAGGCAGGUCU